This is a long non-coding RNA of Dunckerocampus dactyliophorus (ringed pipefish), 2960 nucleotides long. RefSeq lists it as uncharacterized. The record is from RefSeq and is a predicted model, not a curated record. Lineage: Eukaryota; Metazoa; Chordata; Actinopteri; Syngnathiformes; Syngnathidae. The transcript has 3 exons.
UUGGAUUUUUUUUAAUACUUUCCUUAUUUGAAAAAGGUCAUUCUAUCUUCUACAGAGUUUUAAUAACUUGCAUUGUCAAUUGUGUUAGGUGCUGACAUGAAUUUGUGCGUAGACUUAGGAAUUAUCUAUUUUAUUCUAUCUCACUUUAUUCUAAAGCAAACUAAAUAAAACAUUAUGCAUAACAUAUGCCUGUUUUUAAAGCUCAGUGCAAAUCAUGUUGGUGCAUCACCAUUAGGAAGGUGCCCGUAUAAUAUUAUUUUCAUUCCUAUUUAUUAUAUACUUCAUGUAUAAAGUAUUUUUCCAAAGAGCAUGCCCCACAUAUUUAAAACCACCCUCCCAAUUUUUGUACAAGAUAAACAGGCGAGAGGGCAGGAUGUUUACACAGCAAAAUGUAAACAUGUUCCCUCUUGAAAUAAAGAAAAAAAAUCAACUAAAGCCCAAUUCAAUCAGCUAAUAGUCAAUCUCGUGUGAUGUGCCCUCAUAGUGAAGAAGUAGGAGACUUUUUUUGUGUGUGUGCACCAGAAUAUUGUUUGUAUAAGUCAUAAUAUUUAUGCAGAGGACGCCCGAGGAGUGAAGUGGAUUUGCUCUGCCGGAUUCUGAGCUCACAACCUCGGGUGGAGACCGUGGAUCGACUGCUGGCAGACUUGCUGGGACCAUCGUAAUGAAGAAGCAUGCUGGCUCUGUCCCACAGUGGGUCUGUCCCACACGCUGAGUGGGAGCCAGUUAAUGUUGCCCCACCCUGUGGCUCAGCACACCUCCCAUGCCGGGCUGGUCCAUCACGGUGUGACUGAUGCUGCUAUUGAGCCAUCAAUAAUAGGAGAUGAGACAAAAACCACAGUGGAGAGGACAUGAGGAGACUUGGGCCACCACAGCAGACUGGAGUGGGCAGGCAUGCGGCUUUGGCCGCAGGAAGCAGUGAAUUCUUUGGAGAAUGGAAGAUGUCUUUCUAGGCCCCCCCUCUAACCCUCCCGCUACCCCAGAAUGACCCCUGACCCAUCCGUAUGUUUAUAUCAGAGCAUGGAAGUGAGAAAUAGUGAUGAGUCACUCCGGCCGUGUGUUUACGCUCCGAAGUCACGCAAGGAAGGAAAUCAGCCACGGUCUGCUACAAGUGGCGAGCUGGGAGAGAGAAUAGCUGCGGCCCCCUCAGCGCCACAAAGGUGCACCUCUCUGUGAGCGGGAUUUUAGGAUUUCCUUCACCUGAGAUCUGCUGCAAACACUGCAGGCCUACAGGACAUUGUAACUGGUCAAAUUGAUCACAUUUGAUCCUGACAUUGCAAAACACAAUUUGCAAUGGACUGAUUAUGUACGUUAUUGUAUUCAUACCAGUGGUGUUUUUACUGUGGACGCAUCGAAGUCCACUUCUAAUUUGUUCAAAACCAUUUUCCUCAUAGGGAUUAAUUAUAAUUGAAAAAAAAACAUGAAUUCCAGGGUCAAACUGUCAACAUCAUAAAACCUCUAUCAACUUCACAGUUGCCAUCUCUCCAGGCUGCUCUUGGGGAUUCAUAACAAAAGGUCCCAAAUGAAACAAAAUGCCGCAUGUUUUAAGUCCCACAUUCAAUGUAAACUGUAUGCAUGUUUGAAAUAAAUUAAACCAUAAAUGAAACCAUACAUUUGGAUGCCUACUUGUCGCCAGGCAGGAUUACCGGGGCACAGUCAUUAGUGAGUGGCAUAUGGCUGCUGUCCAGUGAAAAGCAUUUAUCUUCAAAUGUGAGUCUUUUUAUCAGAAAAUGCCCCUUGGCCAUUCUUUUGAGUGACCAUUUGAUUAUAAAGCUGUUGUUGUCAAGAGAGAGCGUUCCUCCACUUACGCUCUAUAAAUAAACGUAACACCUCAUUGCUUUCCACCUAUAUAGCACACACACACACACGCACGCACGCACAGCCUCAAUAAGAGCCUACAGCUUUUAUUUUGGCAAGAUUUCUCCUGGAUUGUACCUCCUGUCAGGGGCUUUGAUUGAUAGUUGUGUUUAUCGCCGUAUUAUUAAGUAAUCAGGCUGACCGCAGCAGGGCCUCAAGCUCCUUGAUUCCACUUCAGUGCAAAUUAAAGGUUUGCUUCAUGUUUAUUCUUGUGAUUUUUCUUAAAGAGAUAUAUAUUUAUAUAUAUAAGUGUUUUAUAGGAGUGUCCUGAUUGCUGCAGUCGCUUGGGAACAUUUAGUGGGAUGCAUCCUCAUCACGUAGAUCCAUGCAGGACAUUCACGGUCCUGCUAGAGUGUAAACAUCCUGCCUUUUAAGACACUUGUACAUUGCUGUAAAAAAUAGCGUUAAAUGAGCACGUGGAGUUAUAUGUGCCACUUUUUGGGCGUCAACAACAAGAAGCACUCAGCAAAGGUGGGCGCUCACUUGGGUAACAUAGCCUACGACCGUCUGACUUUGUGUAUGGGCCGAGUAAACAAAGUCACGGCAACGUGGACUUGCUGCUGAGUGUGUCCUGAUGGACACACUGCACUGACUGAGACACUGGCAACUAUCUUGUUUGAUGAAUGGCCCCUGGAUCAUAGGCCAUGUAUUUGGGUUAUUUAAGUCCUCUAAAAAGGUGGAACAUUGUGCUCCAGACAGUUUGGGUCAGGAAUCAGUGGGGUGACAAAUGUUUCAUGAUGUUGGAUCCGUGAUAUCAAGAUGAUCAUUGAAACCUAUUAUUGUAGUGAUGGUCGGUUUCCUUUUUUAACCACAGUUUGGAAACUCCCCGAGUGUGUCAUCGCACUAUUGCUGCACUGAAACACCUAUGUGUGGCUAUGUGUGAGACUUGUUGUUAUACAAAUGAUGUUCUUCAUAUUCAUAUUAGGAAUUGGAUCCCGACAUGGGAAACAAAUGUUCAUAUCAGUUGGUACAGUGCAAUAAUCCAUACAUGUAUAUGUGCAGUACAGGAAGUAAAUGAACCCUGAUGACCACGAUUUCCUUUCACAUUAUUUGUUUACACCAAAUUAUGAUUAUAUAUUUGUUUUUAGGUGUCUAAUAAUUGAAUA